Long non-coding RNA from Gorilla gorilla gorilla (western lowland gorilla), 10848 nucleotides. RefSeq lists it as uncharacterized. The record is from RefSeq and is a predicted model, not a curated record. Lineage: Eukaryota; Metazoa; Chordata; Mammalia; Primates; Hominidae. The transcript is spliced from 2 exons.
UAGAUCUCAGUAAAGGGCUUUUUUUUUUUUUGGCAUUGAUUGCAUUCCUAUAAACUAUAGUUGCAAUAUUUGGAAAAUAUAUUGUCAUAUUUUAUGACACUAAUUGAUGUAUAUGACUUUUAUUUUGAGAAUCCAGGUUCACACUCCUCAUUGUUGUCUUUGAUUUGAUUAUAGACAACCUGCUUGAAUGGGUCAAUCUUGAGCUAAAUAAAUAUUACAACAUCUAGUGAAGAACAAACUUGGUCUUGUUUUCUGUCUAAAUUUAUAAUUUUUAUAUUAGAUUUUGAGCAAAGUUGUAAUCUGGUGAAAUGAAAAGUCAUCUAAAAGAAGAAAAUUUCUGGACUAAUAAUAAAAUGAUUAUUAUUAAUUAAACUUAGUUGUGUUUAGCUUUUAGCUUUUAUUUUAAAAUCUUCACGUGUGUUAGUCUCAAAGUUAUCAAAGGGAGUUGGCGUAAGUUCUUGGAAAGUAUUUCUAUUGGGAUUAAAAGUCCUCUCUAUGAGACUUCACUCUCCAUCUUGUGUUGAUUUUCUGACGAACAUAAAAAUAAAUGAGGAGGAAAAAGCUUGAACCCUUAACUUUAUUUUUUUUUUGGCAUUUUAGACUUUACUUUGUCAUGGAUCCAAAAACUUUGGAGUGUGUUAAAAUAUUAAAUCUUUGUUUGCAUUUAUGGGUGUGCAUUUUUGCUCUUUUUGUUUUCUUUCAUUUUCAUGCAGGGUUGUGUGUUUGUGUGUUUUAUGAGCAGUAGUCAGCAGGAGCAAAUGAGAAGAAUUUUACAAUUAUGAAUUCUCAUGCAUAAUUUGAUUUUAAUUAAAUCACAGAUAAUCAGAAUAGCAGUCUCAAGGAUUUAGGAUCCCUGCUGAACCCCCUCUUCUUGCACGGCACCAAGAGAAAGAUAAAACACCUUUAAAAGUCAGCAUUUAACACACAGUGUUUGGUUUGGAAACAAUCGCAUAUUAAAUUAUUCAGCAACUAUAAUGUCCCAAACAGUUUUCAGGUUGUGUUUUUAUUAAGCUAAACAAAGUUUCUAUGAAAAGUUGUGGGGUUUCGGUAAGUUGUGGGGUUUCUGUGUGUGUGUGUGUAUGUGUGUGCCCUAAAGGCCCAAACAGCUUAUGUCAGCUACAGCAACUCGUUUUUGAUUCAGCAAAACUAGGUUAUGAAUUCAAGCAAUUAAAAAUGACAGAAAGCCCAAUUUCACUGCCUAGAUUAAUAUGCUUCCAAUUUUUCCUGCUCCAUAAAAAUUUCAAAGUGUUCUUUCUGGUGAGGUGCUUGCAUAACCUGUAGGGUAUUGGGAGGGUCUCCAUUUCUUGUUUGCUUAUGAUGUCUGAAUACUUUGAUGUAGCAAAUGUAAAUAGGAUCAGUUGGAUAUUUGUAACAUAAUUUUGUGCUUGCAAGUUCUCCUGAAAUUAUUUUGGUUGGGUUUAAAAGAAAAGAGCAGUGGUUAGUUUCUAAGCAUUUACCGAUAGUGAAGAAUCUGUCGGCAAGCUCCAAUGUCAUGAAGGCCAGGAAAGACUUUUCAAGAAAAGAUACAAUUAUAGUAGAACUAGUGUUUUCAGCUUCCAAAGAUGGCAGUGAUAUAUGUAAAUAUAUAUAUAUAUAUAUGUAAAAUAUUAUGCAGUGAUGGGCAUGUUUAUUACUUUUUCUCUAUUCCUAAAGUAAUGUCUGGAAUUCUAGAUUCAUGUUUAUCUAAUGAGCCAAAUCUCUCCCUGUUAUUUAAAAUGGUCCUUUUUUCUUACACACUAAUUAGUAGUCAAAACCAGCUGCUUUAAUGAUCUGUAGUUUUUGGUUUGUUCGUUAAGUUUUCUAACCUGGUUUGAAUUAACUUGUUCACACAAAGAGUGUACACAGACACAGAUAUACACUCAAAAAGCUCAUCUCCCAGCACCAUUUACUCCAUGCUUUCAAUCCAAUACAGAAAGACAGCAAGAACCAAAGAAAUCAAGGUGCACUAUUUGCCCAAUGUUUGUUUUACAGAGAAGACCCCUAAAGGGCUGUAUAUGAGGAAGGCCUCUGCCAGCCCUUCCUUUGCUCUUCAUGGUAAUUCUGCAUCUGCAUUUGCCACAGUACUGUGGAUGUAUUUCUUUGUUGUUUAGUUGCAGUCUCUAGUUGUGAGGAAAUCAGUUGUUGUCUGCAAAGAAGAUGUAAGUACUAGUUGGAUUUAUUGUGGUUAGCUGAAUGUGUAAGUACAGGUCUUCCAUUUCUAUUAAAAUGAUGAGGAUGAGGAUGUGAUAACCUGUCAACAGAAACAGCAGUGACGAUACAAUGCCGAUUUCUUCCUGGGCGCUUACUGACUCCUUCUCUGCAUCAGACAUUGGACGAGGAGCUCCUAUGUAUUUUCUCUGUUCUUACAACUCUGCAAGGUAGGUAUUACCAUGCCUAAUUUAGAGAUGGAGAAACAAUUUUCAAGACUUUUUAUAAUUAGAAAAAGUGAUUAGACUCCAAAUUUUUCUGAUUCCAAUAUGCUAAGAUACCAUGGAAGUUUAUUAAUCUGAGUUUAGAAUUUAGCAUUUAGAAUCUGUUUACACAUAAUGGGUACUUAACAGAUACACUAGGUUAGGGAUUCUCAAACAGGAUCAAUUUCCUCCCCUAACCCAUAAUAAUAUUUAACAACAUUUUGAAGACAGUUUUUGUGUCUUUGCGAGAGGAUGACUCCCUCCCGCAAAACAAAAACAAAUUACCUGGCCCCAAACCACCAGUGCCACAGCUGAGUAAUUAUACCCUAGGUAAUAUCAGUGAUAGUCUAAUAUAAACAUGGUCUGAUUUUUCAAGAGAGGGGAGAAGAAGGGAAAAAAAGAUCUUGCAAGUACGCGAUUAAAUACAUACCAGAAUAUCCAGAAAACCAAGACAGAAGUAGAAAGCGUCAAUGAACUUCAGUUGAAUAAAUGAGUACAUGGAUGGAACAUUUUGUAUUUUUCAAAAUUUCUUGUCAAGAAUAUGUAUGGGUUUGUACUUGAAAAUGUCUCACAUCUCGAAUACAAGCCACUGUGGUGGGAAAUACAGGUCUGACAGGCGUCCAUUUCAUACCAGCUGUCCUCAGCUUACCAAUCUAAAUUUGUACGUUACUUAAGUGUUAGGCAUAGGUAUCUGCUUACUAUUUAUUGCCCUGCAGAAAGCUCAGAGAUGAUUAACCACAGCUUACAAGUAUGGACUGCAUUUUACCUGAGGCAGGACACAGAUUUUUUUAUACAAGAAAGAAAGGGUCACCCAUGAACAGCUCGUAUCUGGUCAUGGACCAAUAUUAAAGUCUCAAAAAGGGCUCUUGAGCUACCUCCUCCCAGCCUGGAGACAGUUUAGGAACUGGGUUGGAAGUGGAAACCAUUACUGUUCUUUAUAUUUCAGGCCCAAUAAACUCACUUUUGAACAAAGAAAGCGAAGAGUGAAUCCCAUUGCAGAACUGUCAGAAGACUGAUGUUGGAUCCAUUAUUGUCAAAUGUCCUUUUUUAAUACAGUUCCUUGAAUUGGCUUUUGUGGAAUACCUAUUUCAUCUAAGUGUUGGUUCAGGAAAUGGUUUAAAAUGAAACCAGAAUUUGUUGUUCAGUGGUAAAAUAAAUGAGAUGAAUCCACAUAGCCAGGACUACCCAGUAAAGUUGUGUAGAUACUAUCUAUUAGUAUGCAGUACUAAAAUUUAAAUUAUGUAUGUAUAUAUAUAGUUAUAUCUAUAGUUAAGCUAUAGAUAUGUAACUUAUGUAUAGACUAGAAGCUACAUAGUCUAUAUAUAGUCUAUUUAUAUCUAUAUAUAAACUAUAUAUAGAUAUAUAGUUAAGCUAUAUAUAUAGUUUAAUUGAUGAAAGAAAGAAUGGGAAGUUGGAUUUAAAAUAGCCAUUUUAAUUCCAUAUCCAGAAGAAUAUGGAAUACUUCCACAUCUUAAGGUGAGCCUCCUUUUAGAAAUAAAGAUAACUAGUGAUAAACCUUGUAUGCCAUUAAAAAGAGUGUACCCAACACUCAGUGAUUUUCUGCCCAGUCUUGAUUGUGAAAUUUUCUUAGAAUCUAAACAUACAGAAGUUACAUCAAUGUUAUAAGUGGUUCAGGAUUCAAAUUCUGCUGCUGACAGAGAAAGAAACCUGAUUUUGUUGUAAUGCACUCGCUAAUUGUUCAGUAUAUGGAAUUGCACAUCAUUAUCCUUCUUAUCGAUACUGUCUGUUGAGUGCCUGCAAUAAGCUAGACACUGUACUAAUUCCCAGAUGUGCAUUAUUGGCCUGAAUAUUUCCAGCAGCCCUAUGAGGCAGAUGUGGUUGGUAUACCCAGGGUUCAUGAGGGAAGGCUGAAACUUGGGAUGAUUUUUCAAGGGUUACAAGCAGCUAGUGACUAAAAGGGCUGCUAAUCAAAUUUGAAGCUUUGAGGCUUUGAAGUCCCUUUCCCCGCUUUUUUGGCCCAAAGCUGUAUGAAUCGUUGUUCUAACAUUGGUGAAAAAUGAAUCUGAUGUAGAUGAAGGAUUUAUGUAGCUAUAGGAAGUUCCUAUAACUCUCCUAUUAGGAUUAACCUUCUUAUCAUCUUGGCAAAUUAUGAAAGUGGCUGGAUAUUUUGGGUAGAUGGGUGGAUGGGUAGAUGAAUGGAUAGAUGAGUAGACAUAUAGACUGAAUAGUAAUGGAGAAGACAAAUUGGCAAAGGACAUGAAUAUAGGUUUUGGAAAAAUAAAUAUAAAUGGCAAGUAUAUGAAAGUGUGUGUGUGUGUGUUUGUGUGUGGGUGGGUGUGUGAAAGUUUCCCUUGUAUAUGUGAAAGUUUUAAUAUUGUAUUGGAAAAUAAUUUGUUGAUGAAACAGGCAUUUUAUAUACUGUUACAAUGUGGAAUAGUACCUUUUUCUGUAGAGGACUAUUUGGGAAUUUUUAUUUUAAAAAAGUAGGCUGGGCAUGAUGGCCCAUGCCUGUAAUCCAACACUUUGGGAGGCCAAGGAAAGAGGAUCAUGAGGUCAGGAGUUCAAGACCAGCCUGGCCAACAUAGUGAAACCUCGUCUCUACUACAAAUACAAAAAUUUGUCAGGUGUGGUGGCAGUCGCCUGUAGUCCCAGCUAUUUAGGAGGCUGAGGCAGGAGAAUCGCUUGAACCCGGGAGGCGGAGGUUGCAGUGACCCUAGAUCGUGCCACUGCACUCCAGCCUGGGUGACAGAGUGAGACUCCAUCUCAAAAAUAAAUAAAUAAAUAAAUAAAUAUGUACUUUUGACCCAGCCUUUCUGCCUCUGGAAUCUAUGUGAUCGCUGAAGUUUGUGAAGAUGCAGCUUGGUUCACUGCCGCAUUGUGAACAGUCAGAAGGAAACUGGAGCAGACGAAAUACCUAAGUAGGGGGAUUGGAGGUCAAGGACCCUUGUAGGAAUGAAGUGGAUUUGCCUGGAUGUAAAACUACAUCUAAGAUGUUAUGAGUGAGGAAGAGCCCAAAACUCAGAAAUCUGUUUGAAAAACUUUGUUAGAAAGCAGACAUACACAUGCAGUUGUUUUACGUAGAGGGCAAUACUGCAAAAGAUAAUAAAGGGACUAUGAACAGUGAUUAUCUUUGUUGUAGCUGUGCAGUAUGACUAAGAGAGGGGCAGGGAAGAGAUGAAGCUUUUGUUUUUAAGAUUGCACCUUUAUUCUUUGUGAUUUUCAGCAAAGAUGCCCUAUUUGGAUAAUUAAAAAAUACUUAAAAGAAAAGCUUCCAUUUUGCAAACAACCUGUGAUAACUUUACCCCUGAGCUGAUAAAGAUCAGCUUAGAUACCAACAUAGAUACUCUAUGUUGGACAUAGGCAACCUAAAUUGCUUGGAAAAUAUAUUUGAGCUUUAGAAAAGAUAAAACUGAAAAUCAUUGGAUUCACAGUUAUGUUUUGGUUAAGGUUUGGGGUCAGUAUCCUUUUUGGAAUGGGGUGGUGGGGUGUUGGAAUUUCCUAAAAAUAUUAUAUCUAAGUGUUAACAGUAAUGGUUUGACCACAGAAGAAAAUCAAAUUUCCCUGUUGCUGUACACACUUGUCAUUCAUCGUCCGUACUGCAAAAUCAUGAUCCUUAUCCUCCCAGAUGUGUGUGUUUUUGUCAGGGACCGUAGGCUGCUAAAAGUUGUAUACAGUACUAUUAUUUUUUUUAUUCAUCUCUAGGUCAUUUCAUCUUCCUGUGCAAGCCACAUGAAUAGCUGUGUAUGAAAAUUGUAUUUUGUGCUGCAUUUCCCACUGUGAAAGAUGUUUACUAUAUAUUUAUGAAAACACUGCAAUAACAAAACCCUUUAUAUAGCCUUUCAAUUUGCUGUAAGGGCAGAUAAAAUAUUUUUAUCUCAAGCUGAACUUCAUACCUUGGGAGAUUCAGCUGGCCUGACUCAGAAUAAUAAAACACUUCAGAGAAAGGCAGGUGCUGUUCAGAUUGCUUCAGAAACCUGUGCACUUCACUCGGCAGAUUUCACUUCGUUUAAACACGCCAACUGAAUAUACAAAAGCUAGAAAUAAUCAGUAUAAACUAUGCAACGUUAAGUACAAGAAAUCAUCUUUUUUUUGUUAAAUAGUUUCAUAAUACAUCUACAGUAGCAUCAGAGUGAUUUUUAAUGAGUAGUAUUUUCCUGUAUACCAGAAGAUACAGAGAGAAGGUUGGCGAUCAUUCCAGUGUCUUGAAAACUUUCAUUCUUCAUCUGCAUUUAGGCUUUGGCAAUGUUCUUAAUUGAAAUUUUUACAGAGAUAAAUGUAGCAUAUGCAGUUGUAAGAAAAUAUAGAUAGAUCUCUUGUACACUAUUCUCUAAUGGUAAUAUUUUACCAAACUGUAGUAUCACAUCGUAUCGAGGAUACUGGCAUGGCUGCAAUCCACUGACCUUAUUUGAAUUUCCCUAAGGUUACUUGCACGUAUUUGUGUGUAUACAUAUUGUUCUGUACAACUUCAUCGUGUGUAGGUUUGUGUAUCCACCGCCACAGAUAAGGUACUGAGCAGUUCCAUCCUGAGGUUCCAUUUGUAUAACCACAGCUAUCUCUCGCGACCACCUGCCCCUGUUCUUAACCCCUGUCAAUCAUGAAUCUGCCUUCCAUUUGUAAAACUUUGUUAUUUCCAAAAUGGUAUAUAAGUGAGAUCACAGAGUGCUUAGAGUUUUGGGAUGGGCUUAUUGACUCAUCAUUCCCUGGAGUUGUACCUACAUUGUUACAUCAGUAAUUUUGCAUGGUAUAUAUAUGUACCACAGCUUAACCAUUCACCUGUUGAAGGAUAUCUGGGCUGGCUUUGACCAUCACACAUAAAGCUGUCUUGAACAUUUGUGGAUAGGUUUUUGCGUGACCGUGAGUUUCACUUCUCUGGGAUAAAUGCCCAGGAAUGGGCUUUGGCGAUCUUUGAUUUAUGCAUAUUAUGGAACACAUCAAUAUGUUGCACCCAUUGGAAGUCAAUGCCAGUUGCGUACAAACUGAUACAAGGAAAAAAGAAAAUUGUACCCACGUCUUAAUGUUUAUUUUUACAUAAACACGGCACUAAAUGCAGAGAAUAGCCAGCAUUUAUGUAGCAUCCACCAUAUGCCAGGCUGUAUUCUAAGCCUGUUAUGUAUGCUAACUCAUUUGUCCUCAGAGCAGCCUUAUGAAGUAUUUACUACUGUUCUUUCUUAUGGAGGCAACACCAAGCACAAAAUGGUUAAGUAACUUGCCCAAGAUUAUACAGUCAUCACCACUUAGAGGUAGUCGGUCUGGCUGGAGAACCCCUGAUUUUAACCACUAAUCGAUGUCCCCGCUUUCUUUUGUUUGUUUGUUUAUUUAUUUAUUUUGAGAUGAACUUUCACUCUUUCACCCAUGCGGGAGUGAAGUGGUGAGAUCUCGGCUCAUUGCAACUUCUGCCCCCCGGAUUCAAGCGAUUCUCUUGCCGCAGCCUCCUGAAUUGCUGGGAUUAUAGGUGCCCGCCACCAUGCCUGGCUAAUUUUUGUAUUCUUAGUAGAGAUGGGGUUUCACCAUGUUUUCCAGGCUGGUCUCGAACUCCUGACCUCAGGUGAUCCACCGCCCCCCGCCCCCGCCUUGGCCUCCCUAAGUGCUAGUAUUACAGGCUUGAGCUACCGCGCCUGGCAGACAGACAUCUAUAAGAUGAUGUCCCCACUUUCGUAGAUCGGUUGGUCAUAACUUGUGGGUUGGCUGAGACAGUAAUAUUCAUUUAGAGUAAACAUCUAUUGAUAUCACCCUGAGAAGAAAUAAUAAAUGAAACUGGGUAUAUAGAAUAAUCAGCUAGCUGACUUCAUCAGCCCUUAGCUCACAGCUCUGCCUUAAAGCUUGCUUUAUUUGGCCGUUUCAGACAGAUGGAUGCCUCUUAUGGCUUUUGGAUCUCCAAGACGUAGAUUUCACAACCCUCCCUUGGUUACACACUGUAAUAUUUAACAGCUCUCAAUAGCAGUAUGUUCUGCUUUUUUGGUACGGCCCAAAUCUCUCCUAUGGCAAACUCAACACCCCUCACUCCUUCUUCCCACCUAUUGAAGACGUGGAAUUGUUGUUUGUCCAUUGUAUUCACAACAUAAAGGUAUCUGUUUGUAACAGAAUAUUGCUUGGCUGCUUUACAUUAAUCCUUGAGCUUUUCGUUCCUCCAAAGGCAUUUUAUAUUUCCAACAGGCUUAUAAAGUAUUUAAUAUUUUCAUAUGCGUCAGUGUAAAGCCAUCUGUUGCAGUGACAGGACAAAAUGUGGAAGACAAGAACAAGCGUAUGUUUAUGGAAAGAUUCCAUGAAAUGUUAACAAGAAAGAUAUGUGCUACUCUGGGGUGUCUUGUAGAAAAUGGUCAGGGGAAUUUGGAAAGGCAUGGCUUACAGCAUUGGUAUUUGUAAAUUAGUGUUUAUAAAAGGCAUGUGCACUUUUUUUUUCUAUUUUCCUGCAAAUUUAGAGUAGAUUGUUGACAUAAAUGGUGACAGUGACCACUCUGAAAGGAAAUGGUGGUGUGACCUAAUAUUUGGAACUUCCUUCAUUUGUUGUUCUUCAUUCACAGGCUUCAACUUUUUCCUUUUCCUUUGAACAAGUGGAUUGGGAACCUGCUUUGCGGCAGGCGUUUGUGUUGCCGGAAUAGCUAGAUUGUGUUUCUAAACAGCUAGAACUGUUUCUCAGUGCCUUACUUUUAAUAGCCGUGUUGUGGUCUUGCUUAUACAGAAACAAUCAGACGGGAAUCAAUUUUGCCUGCCCACUUGAACGUAUCGGUUUAGGCACAGUUAUCCAAAGCUGUUGCUGCAUUACAUUGCCCCUCGUCGAACUGGGCUCAGAAAAUCAAAGCAAGUUCCCCCAAGUGAAGACACCAAUGCUCUUGGGGAAACACAUCACAGCUAAAAUACAGCGAGUAUUGGCCGGGCACGGUGUCUCAUGCCUGUAAUCCCAGCACUGUGGGAGGCCAGGGUGGGUGGAUCGCUUGAGGUCAGGAGUUCGAGACCAGCCUGGCCAACAUGGUGAAACCUCAUCUCUACUAAAAACACAAAAAUUAGCCUGGUGUGAUGGCGGGUGCCUGUAAUCCCAGCUACUCGGGAGGCUGAGGCAGGAGAGUCGCUUGAACCCAGGAGGUGGAGAUUGUGGUGAGCCGAGACUACGCCAUUGCUCUCCAGCCUGGGCAACAAGAGAGAAACUCCGUCUUCGGAAAAAAAGACAAAAAGAAAAUGCACUAAGUAUAGUAUCUGCCAAGUACUACUACUACUACGAGAGGCACUGUGUCUUGGUUGGCUUAUUUGAGGCUCUCAAACCUCUUAGGUAGCAUAAGAAGUCAUUGUCUUCAUUUUACAGAUGAGGGAGCAAUUUUAGAGAAGGUAAUUAACCAAAUAUUACAUUGCUAACAUGGAGUGGACUGGGAACUUGGCAACAGGCCGACUAAACCCACAAGCAGCUUGCUUAACCGCUGUGUUUUGUAACUGAGGCUGGAGAAAGAGGAGGAGCUUGUGAGGUGCCUUCCAGACCAGCUCUUCUCAGGUGGGCGUUAGCUGGGAUGUGUGGGUCAAAGAUGCAGUAUGUUGUUGAGAUGUGACAUUGACAUGGAGCUUGAUGCCCUCCACAGACUUUCUCUAAAAGUUCUUCAUUUCUCAGCUACUUUUCCCACUCUGUAAAUAGUCACUUCUCAAGCCCCAGAGAACACUUGUAGAAAGAAGUUGGUGUGAACUCUAGAAGAACAGCUCUUCAAAAUGCCGCAAUGGAGCAAGGACAUGUGGAAUAACCUCCAGUAUAAAUCCUUUACACCGAUUUUUGAACUUUUUUUAAAGAAAAAAAAAAAAAACAGAGUUUUGCUCUUGUCACCCAGGCUGGAGUGCAGUGGCGCGAUCUUGGCUUACUGAAACCUCUGCCUCCGGGGUUCAAGUGAUUGUCCUGCCUCAGCCUCCUGAGUAGCUGAGAUUACAGGCAGAUACCACCAUGCCUGGCUAAUUUUUGUAUUUUUAGUAGAGACAGGGUUUCACCAUAUUAGCCAGGCUGACCUCGAACUCCUGACCUCAAGUGAUCCACCCACCUCAGCCUCCCAAAGUGUAGGUAUUACAGGCGUGAGUCACCACUCCCGGCCCUAUUUUAUAUUCACAAGUGUGAGAAAGUGCCUAAAAGCAUUCACAGGUUUUCAAUCAUAUUUAUAAAUAAUCACUGUUACCCAUGUCAAAAGAUGACAAUUCCAGGCCAGGCACAGUGGUUCAUGCCUGUAAUCCCAACACUUUGGGAGGCUGAGGCGGGUGGAUCAUCUAAGGUCAAGAGUUUGAGACCAGCCUUGCCAGCAUGAUGAAACCCCGUCUCUACUAAAAAUGUUAUAAAAAAUAGCCGGGCAUGGUGGUACAUGCCUGUAGUCCCAGCUACUUUGAAGGCUGAGGCAGGAGAAUCACUACUACCUGGGAGGUGGAGGUUGCAGUGAGCCAAGAUUGUGCCACUGCGCUCAAGCCUGGGUGACAGAGAGGGACUCCGUCUCGGAAAAAAAAAAAAAAAAAGGAUGACAAUUCCAGAUAGCUAUUCCAA